This is a non-coding RNA of Paramuricea clavata, 1515 nucleotides long. NCBI's taxonomy places the organism in Eukaryota, Metazoa, Cnidaria, Anthozoa, Malacalcyonacea, Plexauridae. The record is from the annotation of a GenBank genome assembly.
CACUUACACAUUGAUUUUCUUCUUUAUGUCUGAUCGGUUCAUCUUUACAGCUAAAAAUGCAGUGGUUGUGUGAAAACGUCAAAGAAAUAAAACAAUAUUUACGACUUCGUCCACCAUCUUGGCUUUGUUGCUAGGCUCGCGUAAACUAAGUCUCAGACCUCUAACAACACGGCCAAUGGCGGUCGUCUUUGAAAUUUACGAAUAUUUCAAUCAAAUAUGGACUUUUUAAACAAUCAUAUGUAAAAACCUGUUCAUGGUAUAAUAUUUUCGCAACGUUAAAGGUUUGUCAAGUCAACAAAGGGACAUGAUGCGUAAAAGAGACGUGGAUAAUUUUCUGAACGUGGUGAGAGUUCCACUAUUUAUAGACGUAUACAUUGCAUUGUCAAAUGUAGCUGAUAUAUUAUUUAAAGUUUGCUGUGUUUUGUUGUGUAUAAGUAUUUCACCUUGGACAUUAAUAUGUUUUUUUUCAGCUUCUGUACAUGUUUGUCGUUCUUGUUUGGAUAUUUGUUAUAUAUGCUGGUUAUCAUGUGGCCAAGGACAGUUUGAAAUAAAUUGUAAAACCUGCUCUGCUGCCUUCUGGUAUCGGUAUUUGGUAAAAAGUUAACAUGGGAUUAGUGAGGAGUCAGAAAUUCAGCUUUGUAAACAAGACAACCAUUGCAAGACUUGCAAGGAUUUGAAUUAUCCUAGUUUAUUCAGUACUAUUGAGUAGACCAUAGUCCAUAGUCACCAUGCAUGUGGGCAUAUGAGACAUGGGGCAGAGGGCCAGACUGCUAGGUUGUUUGCCAUGCUUGCCAAAGAUCUUCCGUGCUCAAGUUUGCCAUUCUAGGUGCGUACCUUUAUUGGUAACUUAACAGUUCAGACAGAGGGAAAUUGAUGAGGCCAUCAGACUCGCAACAAGUUGCAUGUUCUGUUGCACGUAACAAGCCUGUAUUAAUCUUCCCAUGCAGUGUUGAAAAAAGUUGCAGAUAGUCUUUUAUCAUCAUAAUCGACCCUGUAACAAACCGAUAUACUAACUUGAUUGUUCUAGACAUGUCAGAACAACUGGGAACAAGCAGUGUGAACACAUCCUGAUAUUGGCUAGACAACACAUUCUGCAAAUCUGCAAAUAACUUUCAACUUAUUUGCAGAUCUGUAACAGCUUGUGCAUUUUUAUGUUUGCAGUGAUAGGCAGUAAGUUAUGGUUUAUUUACAACAAAGCCUGAUUCUCAUAUGCCAUUGUUUGAGAUCAGUGAAGAAGAGCAUAGACAAAAGAUUUUACUCAUCAAUGAUCAACGACAAUGGGCAUCGCUGACGUCGGCCACAUAUAAGAAUCAGGCUUAAAGGACUAUUUAAGUCUGUGGAAUGUCAUUACAUCAGCCAGUGGCGUAGCCACAGAGGGACAAGGCGGGGUGAGUCUCCCCCCCCCCCACUCUCCUUCAGAAUCACCUUUGAGAGAUAUUUAAAUCCAUUGAGAAGGGGGGGGGGGGGGGACAUGUGCACAAUGCAACGUCCAACUUAAUACCACAAAUUUGUCAC